GAGCGGCGAACGGGUGAGUAACACGUGAGCAACCUGCCCCUGACUCUGGGAUAAGCCCGGGAAACUGGGUCUAAUACCGGAUACGACCGCCCCCGGCAUCGGGUGGUGGUGGAAAGUUUUUUCGGUUGGGGAUGGGCUCGCGGCCUAUCAGCUUGUUGGUGGGGUAGUGGCCUACCAAGGCGACGACGGGUAGCCGGCCUGAGAGGGCGACCGGCCACACUGGGACUGAGACACGGCCCAGACUCCUACGGGAGGCAGCAGUGGGGAAUAUUGCGCAAUGGGCGGAAGCCUGACGCAGCGACGCCGCGUGGGGGAUGACGGCCUUCGGGUUGUAAACCUCUUUCAGCAGGGACGAAGUUGACGUGUACCUGCAGAAGAAGCGCCGGCUAACUACGUGCCAGCAGCCGCGGUAAUACGUAGGGCGCAAGCGUUGUCCGGAAUUAUUGGGCGUAAAGAGCUCGUAGGUGGCUGGUCGCGUCUGCCGUGAAAGCCCGCAGCUUAACUGCGGGUCUGCGGUGGAUACGGGCCGGCUAGAGGUAGGUAGGGGCAAGUGGAAUUCCU
RNAcentral lists this ribosomal RNA (561 nucleotides) under Nonomuraea sp. 384A04. RNAcentral describes it as "bacterial SSU rRNA". It matches the Rfam family "Bacterial small subunit ribosomal RNA", at positions 93 to 671 of the family's 1533-position model. The record is from RNAcentral. Lineage: Bacteria; Bacillati; Actinomycetota; Actinomycetes; Streptosporangiales; Streptosporangiaceae.